Trichomycterus rosablanca is the source of this 507-nucleotide long non-coding RNA. RefSeq lists it as uncharacterized. NCBI's taxonomy places the organism in Eukaryota, Metazoa, Chordata, Actinopteri, Siluriformes, Trichomycteridae. The transcript is spliced from 3 exons. The record is from RefSeq and is a predicted model, not a curated record.
AUUUUCCAAUCUGGUGGCUUAUUGGUGGGUGAGAUGCGACCAAAAGUAUGUGGACACCCACCCGAAUUAUUCAGUCGACGUCUUCCAGUAGAAGGUGAAAGCUGUGUCGGGUGGCGUGAGGGGUGAAACAGCUGUGUGAACAUGCUGAAGGUUUCCGGACUCCCUGACUCAGUCACAUCUGACACACUUCCAAAAUCCAGCUGCUGUUUUUAAUGAUGCUACAUCAAUCAAGAACGAAAUCUGACGGAGCGGCAAUUCAUCACAUGGGUUCAUACACAUUUAUCAAUUCACCCAUUCACUCACUCACCCAUUCACUCACUCACCCAUUCACUCACUCACCCAUUCACUCACCCAUUCACUCACUCACCCAUUCACUCACUCACCCAUUCACUCACCCAUUCACUCACUCACCCAUUCACUCACUCACCCAUUCACUCACUCACCCAUUCACUCACGCGCCCGGUUCUUCAUUUUACUUUAUUUUUAUUUCUUGUUUGUUUAAUUGUU